Non-coding RNA from Triticum urartu, 489 nucleotides. The record is from RefSeq and is a predicted model, not a curated record. NCBI's taxonomy places the organism in Eukaryota, Viridiplantae, Streptophyta, Magnoliopsida, Poales, Poaceae.
GCAACAUCAAUAUCUUGCAAUCCUCCCAACGGCAGUGGUAGCGGAUUGACCUGGUCUCAACGGCAGCAACAUCACAACGACCCAUUUCCUAUUACUGAUUCGACGGCGCGGAGCAGUGGCAGCGGUAACAUCUGUUGACCGAUUUGGAGGGGAGCAGAAUAACAGUGAGCAGCAAAGUGUGGACUGGUUCAACAUCAGCCAACAUAAUCGCCCCAACAUCAGCCAGACCGACUGGUUUGAGCUCCUUCCAUGCCUCCCUAACUAUCUUUGCAAGCAGUUGAGUUGGCUUGAACUUUCCUGUACAACUGAAGGUCCUUCUCGAGCGUGUGCAGCUUGAUGUAACAUCAUGCAGUUUGCGAUGGGGAAUCAGUGUUUAGUAGGAACAACUUAGUGCAUAUGUAUUUUGUGUGUACUGACCUGAUGCAAAUAUAUUCAUGUGUAAUGCCAGACAAGGUACAAAGGUAAUGUAGAUUCUGUGUAAUGAUUCGA